GGUCAAGCGAAUAAGUGCAUAUGGUGGAUGCCUUGGCGAUUACAGGCGAUGAAGGACGUGGUAGCCUGCGUAAAGUCUCGGGGAGCUGGCAAACAAGCUUUGAUCCGGGAAUGUCCGAAUGGGGAAACCCACCCGCAAGGGUAACCCUCUCUGAAUAUAUAGGAGAGCGGUGGCGAACCGAGUGAACUGAAACAUCUAAGUAGCUCGAGGAAAAGAAAUCAACCGAGAUUCCGGAAGUAGUGGCGAGCGAACCCGGAAAAGCCUGUUACUUUUAGCACACGCGAUAAUAGAACGGAAUGGAAAGUCCGGCCAUAGUGGGUGAUAGCCCCGUAUAUGAAAUCCCGUGUGUGGAACUAGGGUAACGACAAGUAGGGCGGGACACGUGAAAUCCUGUCUGAAUAUGGGGGGACCAUCCUCCAAGGCUAAAUACUCGUAAUCGACCGAUAGUGAACCAGUACCGUGAGGGAAAGGCGAAAAGAACCCCGGGAGGGGAGUGAAAUAGAUCCUGAAACCGUAUGCAUACAAACAGUGGGAGCCUCGUAAGGGGUGACUGCGUACCUUUUGUAUAAUGGGUCAGCGACUUACAUUCAGU
RNAcentral lists this ribosomal RNA (592 nucleotides) under Burkholderiales bacterium. RNAcentral describes it as "partial 23S ribosomal RNA". It matches the Rfam family "Bacterial large subunit ribosomal RNA", at positions 1 to 638 of the family's 2925-position model. The record is from RNAcentral. Lineage: Bacteria; Pseudomonadati; Pseudomonadota; Betaproteobacteria; Burkholderiales.